GUUCGAGCUUUCCAACAUGUAUAGAUAAUAAAUGUCAAACUACGAUGGAAACUUUAACCAGUUAUGAAUAUUUAAUCCAGAAACAUAAUGCGUGGUUUUUCAAUGCUUUUCUCGAAAGGAGACGAGCUCAUGAGAUUUCCAGUUAUCAAUGAUUGUAUAGAAAGAAGGAAAGUUUGACAGACUACCUCUUUUCUUUUGGAGAG
RNAcentral lists this unclassified non-coding RNA (203 nucleotides) under Hevea brasiliensis (rubber tree). The record is from RNAcentral. Lineage: Eukaryota; Viridiplantae; Streptophyta; Magnoliopsida; Malpighiales; Euphorbiaceae.